GGGUGGGGAGAGGUGAAUAUAAUGUAGUUUAAAAUUAUUGUGUGUAGUACAAUAGAGAGUACUGGCUACAGUAUCAAAGGCUGGGGUGCUAUGCAUAGGUGUUGGGCCUGGAGAAGAUUUUUAAAAAAAGAUGAUAGAGUUUAUCCAUAGAACUCACCUACUACACCUCAGGAUUUAGGGUCGCUUGCAUUGCACACUGUAUUUUAGAUGACAUUCAUUUGAAAGAUUUGGUUAUGGAUGUUUUGUAACAAAGCCAGAUUAGAAAAGAAAAUAAAAAAAUCUCUU
Molecule: long non-coding RNA, 285 nt
Filed under: Physcomitrium patens
Lineage: Eukaryota; Viridiplantae; Streptophyta; Bryopsida; Funariales; Funariaceae
Description: long non-coding RNA (PPAT_LNC004961)
Source: RNAcentral